RNAcentral lists this ribosomal RNA (894 nucleotides) under Triticum aestivum (bread wheat). Its description in RNAcentral is "partial small subunit ribosomal RNA". Lineage: Eukaryota; Viridiplantae; Streptophyta; Magnoliopsida; Poales; Poaceae. The record is from RNAcentral.
AUGCCGUCGCGGACGUCCAUGGAUGCCGCCAGGACGGUCGUGGUGACCGCCUACGAGGAGCUGCCACGCCGCCGUUCCGGCAGCUAUAGCGCGUCCUGGUCGACCGCUCGAGCCGGGACGCGCGCGGCCGCGGGCGGCCACAACCGCCGGGCGAUGCUGCUCGCGUACGCGCAGCACCUGCGGCGGCGCGGCGGGCAGAGAUCGUAUUCGGGGCCGCCGCGCGUGCUGGAGUGGGGCGAAUGGAAGCGGGCAGACGAUCCCGGCGCCGGCGCCGGCAACGACGAUAAGGUGAGCGCGGCGGAUCAGCAAAACAUUUCUUAUUUCGUCGGAUCAUGCAUGCACGACGUGCAUCUAACGCGUGCUCAUGUCCUCGGUCGACCAGCAGGCGGUGGCGGGGCGGAGGAGGGGCUGCUGCUCCAGGCUCCGGCUGUGGGUGCGGCUUUGGAUCAGGACGUUCUUCCGUCGCGUCAGGAGGAUCAGGGAGAACGCGUCGUGCAGGAAAGCAGAUUGAACGUGUUGGUCAUGCAGGACGAUACGAGGAAGAUCAUUUGGUUGGUCAUCGGCGAAUUAGCGCCUGCAUCUGCAUCUGCAUGUGUCCUGGAAUUUUUCUGUAGCCGUACACGGAUCUGGAAGACUCCUGAGUUAGGACCUUCCAAAUUAAGAAGGAUAGAGACGUCUCAUCUCCCGUGCUCCACCGUCAAGCAAUGGCCGCGGGCAAUAGGCUCUAAUGCUAGUCGUUGGAUCCACGAUCCAACGACCCAGAAAUCCCCCGUAUCAUGGGGUCAUGGGAGGUGUGGGAGCACAUACUAUUAUCCCUUGGUUGAUGGUGCAGGGUCUGUAUUUUAUGCCACUGCGAUGGAGUCAGUGAUACCUCACGUAUCGACCUGUGGCUAG